This 349-nucleotide long non-coding RNA is filed under the name Rhinopithecus bieti (black snub-nosed monkey). Its description in RNAcentral is "lncRNA (ENSRBIG00000045666.1)". Lineage: Eukaryota; Metazoa; Chordata; Mammalia; Primates; Cercopithecidae. The record is from RNAcentral.
UCCAAAUCCAUCUUCCUGAAGCACAUCUCUGACUGUGUGACUUACUCUGAUUGCAGGGCUCCUAAAGGCCAUCUCUCCCUAUGGGGACUUCAGCUUAUGUUCUCAUCCUUACCUCCUACUCCUGCUCUUCUCUCAUGCAUUCCUGCAGCCAAACGUUGCCAAAGGGCUUGGCCAUGACUCCUUGGCUCUGAGUGGGUGCUGGCCAGGAAAACAGCUCUUGGGAGCCAACGAAGACAGAUGCCAGUCCCCAGCACCUCUAGUCCAUCACUGAUGAGGAACAGAAAAGGUAUGAGGGGGCAGGGGAGCAUGACAUUCGUCUACAGAACACACACAGCAGCAGAGAGACAGU